UCGUCGGCGAUGGUCGGGGAGAUGAAGUGGACGUGGGCGUCGAUGGCCCCGGCGGUGAGGAUCUUGCCGUUGCCCGCGAUGACCUCCGUCUCCGGCCCGAUGACGAGGUCCGGGUGGACACCGUCCAUGGUGUCCGGGUUCCCCGCCUUGCCGAUGCCGGUGAUCCGGCCGUCACGCAGCCCGACAUCUGCCUUGACGACGCCCCAGUGGUCCAGGAUCACGGCGCCCGUAAUCACGGUGUCGGGGGUCCCCUCGGCGCGCGUGGCACGGGACUGGCCCAUGGACUCACGG
Molecule: small RNA, 291 nt
Filed under: Streptomyces bingchenggensis BCW-1
Lineage: Bacteria; Bacillati; Actinomycetota; Actinomycetes; Kitasatosporales; Streptomycetaceae
Description: 5' ureB small RNA
Rfam family: 5' ureB small RNA
Source: Rfam by way of RNAcentral